Molecule: unclassified non-coding RNA, 278 nt
Filed under: plant metagenome
Description: partial contains small subunit ribosomal RNA and internal transcribed spacer 1
Rfam family: Eukaryotic small subunit ribosomal RNA (bases 1-54)
Source: RNAcentral
GGAAGUAAAAGUCGUAACAAGAUUUCCGUAGGUGAACCUGCGGAAGGAUCAUUAUCGAAAUACUUAUUUAGCGUUCCGUGCUAUCCCAUUGUUUUAUUUACCCUGUUGCUUCCACUGGAUGAGUUUCCAUACCUUGUGUUUGAGAAACUUUGGCUUGUGUAAGAUUCAUUCACGGCCAGCCAGUGAGAAGACCAUUUACAAAACCCUGUUAAGAACCAAUUGUCUGAAUAUUUUACUCCAAUGAAAUAAAACUUUCAACAACGGAUCUCUAGGCUCUU